GGAUCCAGACUUUGAUCAUGGCUCAGGACGAACGCUGGCGGCGCGCCUAACACAUGCAAGUCGAGCGGGAAGCUUUUUAAGGAUUCUUCGGAUGAAUUAAAAAGUGGAGAGCGGCGGACGGGUGAGUAACGCGUGAGAAACCUGCCCUAUACAGGGGGAUAGCCAUUGGAAACGAUGAUUAAUACCCCAUAUGACCACAGUAUCGCAUGAUACAGCGGUGAAAACUCCGGUGGUAUAGGAUGGUCUCGCGUCUGAUUAGCUAGUUGGUGGGGUAACGGCCUACCAAGGCGACGAUCAGUAGCCGGCCUGAGAGGGUGACCGGCCACACUGGAACUGAGACACGGUCCAGACUCCUACGGGAGGCAGCAGUGGGGAAUAUUGCACAAUGGGCGAAAGCCUGAUGCAGCGACGCCGCGUGAACGAUGAAGGCUUUCGAGUCGUAAAGUUCUGUUCUUGGGGAAGAUAACGACGGUACCCAAGGAGAAAGCACCGGCUAAAUACGUGCCAGCAGCCGCGG
This 517-nucleotide ribosomal RNA is filed under the name uncultured bacterium. RNAcentral's name for it is "bacterial SSU rRNA". It matches the Rfam family "Bacterial small subunit ribosomal RNA", at positions 1 to 520 of the family's 1533-position model. The record is from RNAcentral.